Molecule: long non-coding RNA, 278 nt
Filed under: Musa acuminata (dwarf banana)
Lineage: Eukaryota; Viridiplantae; Streptophyta; Magnoliopsida; Zingiberales; Musaceae
Description: long non-coding RNA (MACU_LNC009259)
Source: RNAcentral
CUGAAGUUGCAGCUCAUGUUGCAAUGACAUUAGUUCCUUCCUACAAAAUUGAACUGUGGUGGUAAUAUUGCCAAAGGUAUUUGUAUUCCACUCCUUUAGUGCUGCUUUACAGGCUUUGAGCUUUUGACAUAAGAUGUAAGGGGGGGAUCCAUGCACAUUAACAUUCCAAGCAGAUCUAAUAACAUCAAGAAAUUGAGGAUGAGUACUCCACAUGUUAAAGAAUCUAAACGGUUUCUUGCCUCUUGGUGUCGCUUUGUCUGCGUGUAUAUACAUUAAAG